Molecule: ribosomal RNA, 467 nt
Filed under: uncultured bacterium
Lineage: Bacteria
Description: partial 16S ribosomal RNA
Rfam family: Bacterial small subunit ribosomal RNA
Source: RNAcentral
ACGCACGCUGGCGGCGUGCUUAACCCAUGCAAGUCGAACGGAAAGACCCUGCUUUUGUGGGGUGCUCGAGUGGCGAACGGGUGAGUAACACGUGAGUAACCUGCCCUUGACUUUGGGAUAACUUCAGGAAACUGGGGCUAAUACCGGAUAGGAGCUCCUGCUGCAUGGUGGGGGUUGGAAAGUUUCGGCGGUUGGGGAUGGACUCGCGGCUUAUCAGCUUGUUGGUGGGGUAGUGGCUUACCAAGGCUUUGACGGGUAGCCGGCCUGAGAGGGUGACCGGCCACAUGGGGACUGAGAUACGGCCCAGACUCCUACGGGAGGCAGCAGUGGGGAAUAUUGCACAAUGGGCGGAAGCCUGAUGCAGCAACGCCGCGUGCGGGAUGACGGCCUGCGGGUUGUAAACCGCUUUCGCCUGUGACGAAGCGUGAGUGACGGUAAUGGGUAAAGAAGCACCGGCUAACUACGUG